GCUCUAAAAAUGGACUAUCUAAAUUUUUGAGGUCGGUAUUAUUCUCUUGGUAGAUCUUCCUCCAGUCAAUAUUCAUCUCACUUUAUGUGGCUGUUCCUAGGAGGUUAGCAAAAUAAUCAAAAAAUGCUUUCUUUAAAAGCAUGGGAUCAUGAGUUGCCUCUCCUUGAUGCUCAAGGUAAGUGAUUGUAUUUUUCCAUUUCCUUGUAGAUGCC
Molecule: long non-coding RNA, 212 nt
Filed under: Elaeis guineensis (African oil palm)
Lineage: Eukaryota; Viridiplantae; Streptophyta; Magnoliopsida; Arecales; Arecaceae
Description: long non-coding RNA (EGUI_LNC024600)
Source: RNAcentral